Molecule: long non-coding RNA, 490 nt
Organism: Uranotaenia lowii
Lineage: Eukaryota; Metazoa; Arthropoda; Insecta; Diptera; Culicidae
Exons: 3
Source: RefSeq, a predicted model, not a curated record
AUUGGAACACGAAAUUGAAAAUCGCGGAUCAAAUGGUAGUUUUUCGGUCGUUUCGGUCAACUAUUGAUGGGCAAGUUCUUCAACGCGGACAAGGCCUUCCCGCAGGCCGCAGGUUUAUAGAACAUUUCCGAAUCGACGUACAGGGAGCCAGUGGACAGCACAUAAGUCUGGCAGGAAAAUGCAUUUUUCAAGUUUCCCGCCCGAAGAAACCUCCAUCGACAUUUCGGGCACAAUAAGCCAACGUCGGAGGACAUUGGAACAUGUACUCUGGAGAUGGGACGAAAGAUGCCGUUUCGUUAACUAACCCGCACUGGAAACGGGCGCAUUAUCAGGUGGCAUCGGUCGGCCCGAGAAAUGCAUUCAUUAAGGAAAGCUCUAUUCGAUGCAAACAAAGUCCCCCUGACCGUAGGAACACCUGUUUAUUGGAGGCCCGCUGUCUGGAUUGUUGCCCUCUAGAGAAAAACAUCGCAAAUCGAUAUGAAAAAAAAAC